RNAcentral lists this ribosomal RNA (336 nucleotides) under Triticum aestivum (bread wheat). Its description in RNAcentral is "partial small subunit ribosomal RNA". Lineage: Eukaryota; Viridiplantae; Streptophyta; Magnoliopsida; Poales; Poaceae. The record is from RNAcentral.
AUGGACGAAGUCGUCCCACGAACGGCCGAUGCAGGCACCACAACAGCAGCUCGUUACCGAAAUAUCAGGGGCGCAUAUGAUGUACAGGAUCAUCUCGUCCAUGCCAUGGAACAAAGCCACCUGCUUGACAAGCUCCAAACAGAGGUAAGGCUUGAUGCCCCGCUGGAUCAACUAUCUUUACAAUAUUGUUGUGACUUUCUAAUGACUGUAGCCCAUUUUUUCUUCAUUGUUCUUUGGUCUUUUUUGGGAGAUUUAACAAGUUUCUUUCAAAUUAUCACAAAUGGAGAUGCUUUUCUGAACCAUUAUGUAAAAGAAUUGGAAUCACUGACAGAUUAA